This 513-nucleotide ribosomal RNA is filed under the name uncultured Pasteurellaceae bacterium. Its description in RNAcentral is "bacterial SSU rRNA". It matches the Rfam family "Bacterial small subunit ribosomal RNA", at positions 363 to 869 of the family's 1533-position model. Lineage: Bacteria; Pseudomonadati; Pseudomonadota; Gammaproteobacteria; Pasteurellales; Pasteurellaceae. The record is from RNAcentral.
AUUGCGCAAUGGGGGGACCCUGACGCAGCCAUGCCGCGUGAAUGAAGAAGGCCUUCGGGUUGUAAAGUUCUGUCGGUAUUGAGGAAGGUUGAUGUGUUAAUAGCACAUCAAAUUGACGUUAAAUACAGAAGAAGCGCCGGCUAACUCCGUGCCAGCAGCCGCGGUAAUACGGAGGGUGCGAGCGUUAAUCGGAAUAACUGGGCGUAAAGGGCACGCAGGCGGUUAUUUAAGUGAGGUGUGAAAGCCCCCGGGCUUAACCUGGGAAUUGCAUUUCAGACUGGGUAACUAGAGUACUUUAGGGAGGGGUAGAAUUCCACGUGUAGCGGUGAAAUGCGUAGAGAUGUGGAGGAAUACCGAAGGUGAAGGCUAGCCAAUUGGGAAUGUACUGACGCUGAUGUGCGAAAGCGUGGGGAGCAAACAGGAUUAGAUAUCAUGGUAGUCCACGCUGUAUACGCUGUCGAUUUGGGGGUUGGGGUUUAACUCUGGCGCCCGUAGCUAACGUGAUAAAUCGAC